AACUCCUUCAGAGGAUUGAAGGUGCUUAUUUUUCUUUUCAUUUUUUCCUAUUUUAUAUGUGUGUGUGUGUAUAUUAUUUGCUUAUUUACUUGUUACUUUUGGAGUUAGUAUCUGGGAAUUUAAUUAAAAGAGUAAUGUUUGGUAAUGUGUAAUAUUCCCGUUCUUUCUUGCAAACCAUAAUACUAAAUAUGGGUCUCAAGAGUCAGGGCAUCAAUUUAUUAUACGUGUCAGGGAUAAAGUUGUGAUUGCAUUUAAAUUUAUGGCAU
Molecule: unclassified non-coding RNA, 266 nt
Filed under: Hevea brasiliensis (rubber tree)
Lineage: Eukaryota; Viridiplantae; Streptophyta; Magnoliopsida; Malpighiales; Euphorbiaceae
Source: RNAcentral